AUUGAACGCUGGCGGCAUGCCUAACACAUGCAAGUCGAACGAGUGGCGGACGGGUGAGUAAUGGCGGGGAACCUGCCUGAUGGAGGGGGAUAACUACUGGAACCGGUAGCUAAUACCGCAUACGAUCAGAUGUGCCCAGAUGGGUUUAGCUGGUUGGUGGGGUAACGGCUCACCAAGGCGACGAUCCCUAGCGGGGCUGAGAGGAUGACCAGCCACACUGGGACUGAGACACGGUCCAGACUCCUACGGGAGGCAGCAGUGGGGAAUCUUGCACAAUGGGCGAAAGCCUGAUGCAGCCACGCCGCGUGUAUGAAGAAGGCCUUCGGGUUGUAAAGUACUGUUGGUAGGGAGGCGGUACCUGCAGAAGAAGCCCCGGCUAACUCCGUGCCAGCAGCCGCGGUAAUUC
Molecule: ribosomal RNA, 406 nt
Filed under: uncultured bacterium
Lineage: Bacteria
Description: partial 16S ribosomal RNA
Rfam family: Bacterial small subunit ribosomal RNA
Source: RNAcentral